GUGCUUGCUUCGGCGGCACAUAUGCUAAAAUUGGAAAGAUACAGAGAAGAUUAGCAUGGCCCCUGUGCAAGGAUGACACGCAAAUUCAUGAAGCAUUCCAUAUUUUU
Molecule: small nuclear RNA, 107 nt
Filed under: Echinops telfairi (small Madagascar hedgehog)
Lineage: Eukaryota; Metazoa; Chordata; Mammalia; Afrosoricida; Tenrecidae
Source: RNAcentral